This 104-nucleotide small nuclear RNA is filed under the name Catagonus wagneri (Chacoan peccary). The record is from RNAcentral. Lineage: Eukaryota; Metazoa; Chordata; Mammalia; Artiodactyla; Tayassuidae.
GUGCUCGCUUCGGCAGCACAUAUAUUAAAAUUGGAACAAUCCAGAGGUUAGCAUGGCCCCUGUGCAAGGAUGACACGCAAAUUCAUGGAGCACCCCAUAUUUUU